UUGGACGCUGGCGGCAUGCCUUACACAUGCAAGUCGAACGGUAGAGGGGCAACCCUUGAGAGUGGCGAACGGGUGAGUAAUAUAUCGGAACGUGCCCAGUCGUGGGGGAUAACGCAGCGAAAGCUGCGCUAAUACCGCAUACGAUCUAUGGAUGAAAGCGGGGGAUCGCAAGACCUCGCGCGAUUGGAGCGGCCGAUAUCAGAUUAGGUAGUUGGUGGGGUAAAAGCCCACCAAGCCGACGAUCUGUAGCUG
Molecule: ribosomal RNA, 252 nt
Filed under: uncultured bacterium
Lineage: Bacteria
Description: partial 16S ribosomal RNA
Rfam family: Bacterial small subunit ribosomal RNA
Source: RNAcentral